UGCCCUGGCAGUCAGAGGCGAUGAAGGACGUGCUAAUCUGCGAUAAGCGUCGGUGAGGUGAUAUGAACCGUUAUAACCGGCGAUUUCCGAAUGGGGAAACCCAGUGUGAUUCGUCACACUAUCAUUAACUGAAUCCAUAGGUUAAUGAGGCGAACCGGGGGAACUGAAACAUCUAAGUACCCCGAGGAAAAGAAAUCAACCGAGAUUCCCCCAGUAGCGGCGAGCGAACGGGGAGGAGCCCAGAGCCUGAAUCAGUGUGUGUGUUAGUGGAAGCGUCUGGAAAGGCGUGCGAUACAGGGUGACAGCCCCGUACACAAAAAUGCACAUAUUGUGAGCUCGAUGAGUAGGGCGGGACACGUGGUAUCCUGUCUGAAUAUGGGGGGACCAUCCUCCAAGGCUAAAUACUCCUGACUGACCGAUAGUGAACCAGUACCGUGAGGGAAAGGCGAAAAGAACCCCGGCGAGGGGAGUGAAAAAGAACCUGAAACCGUGUACGUACAAGCAGUGGGAGCCUCUUAAUGGGGUGACUGCGUACCUUUUGUAUAAUGGGUCAGCGACUUAUAUUCUGUAGCAAGGUUAACCGAAUAGGGGAGCCGAAGGGAAACCGAGUCUUAACUGGGCGUUAAGUUGCAGGGUAUAGACCCGAAACCCGGUGAUCUAGCCAUGGGCAGGUUGAAGGUUGGGUAACACUAACUGGAGGACCGAACCGACUAAUGUUGAAAAAUUAGCGGAUGACUUGUGGCUGGGGGUGAAAGGCCAAUCAAACCGGGAGAUAGCUGGUUCUCCCCGAAAGCUAUUUAGGUAGCGCCUCGUGAAUUCAUCUCCGGGGGUAGAGCACUGUUUCGGCAAGGGGGUCAUCCCGACUUACCAACCCGAUGCAAACUGCGAAUACCGGAGAAUGUUAUCACGGGAGACACACGGCGGGUGCUAACGUCCGUCGUGAAGAGGGAAACAACCCAGACCGCCAGCUAAGGUCCCAAAGUCAUGGUUAAGUGGGAAACGAUGUGGGAAGGCCCAGACAGCCAGGAUGUUGGCUUAGAAGCAGCCAUCAUUUAAAGAAAGCGUAAUAGCUCACUGGUCGAGUCGGCCUGCGCGGAAGAUGUAACGGGGCUAAACC
Molecule: ribosomal RNA, 1117 nt
Filed under: Escherichia coli
Lineage: Bacteria; Pseudomonadati; Pseudomonadota; Gammaproteobacteria; Enterobacterales; Enterobacteriaceae
Description: partial 23S ribosomal RNA
Rfam family: Bacterial large subunit ribosomal RNA
Source: RNAcentral